UGCGGGGUGGAGCAGUCUGGUAGCUCGUCGGGCUCAUAACCCGAAGGUCGUUGGUUCGAAUCCAGCCCCCGCUU
RNAcentral lists this transfer RNA (74 nucleotides) under Dichelobacter nodosus VCS1703A. It matches the Rfam family "tRNA". From Rfam's summary of the family: Transfer RNA (tRNA) molecules are approximately 80 nucleotides in length. RNAcentral also lists the same sequence under 1 other name. Lineage: Bacteria; Pseudomonadati; Pseudomonadota; Gammaproteobacteria; Cardiobacteriales; Cardiobacteriaceae. The record is from Rfam by way of RNAcentral.